GACGAACGCUGGCGGCGUGCUUAACACAUGCAAGUCGAACGGAAAGGCCCUGCUUGCAGGGUACUCGAGUGGCGAACGGGUGAGUAACACGUGGGUGAUCUGCCCUGCACUUCGGGAUAAGCCUGGGAAACUGGGUCUAAUACCGGAUAGGAGCCAUUUUUAGUGUGAUGGUUGGAAAGUUUUUUCGGGGUAGGAUGAGCUCGCGGCCUAUCAGCUUGUUGGUGGGGUAAUGGCCUACCAAGGCGGCGACGGGUAGCCGGCCUGAGAGGGUGGACGGCCACAUUGGGACUGAGAGACGGCCGAGACUCCUACGGGAGGCAGCAGUGGGGAAUAUUGCACAAUGGGCGCAAGCCUGAUGCAGCGAGGCCGCGGGGGGGAUGACGGCCUUCGGGUUGUAAACUCCUUUCGCGAGGGACGAAGCUUUUUGUGACGGUACCUAGAUAAGAAGCACCGGCUAACUACGUG
Molecule: ribosomal RNA, 465 nt
Filed under: uncultured bacterium
Lineage: Bacteria
Description: partial 16S ribosomal RNA
Rfam family: Bacterial small subunit ribosomal RNA
Source: RNAcentral